UACGGAGGGGGCUAGCGUUGUUCGGAAUCACUGGGCGUAAAGCGCGCGUAGGCGGCUUUGUAAGUUAGAGGUGAAAGCCCGGAGCUCAACUCCGGAACUGCCUUUAAGACUGCAUCGCUAGAAUUGUGGAGAGGUGAGUGGAAUUCCGAGUGUAGAGGUGAAAUUCGUAGAUAUUCGGAAGAACACCAGUGGCGAAGGCGACUCACUGGACACAUAUUGACGCUGAGGUGCGAAAGCGUGGGGAGCAAACAGG
RNAcentral lists this ribosomal RNA (253 nucleotides) under uncultured bacterium. Its description in RNAcentral is "partial 16S ribosomal RNA". It matches the Rfam family "Bacterial small subunit ribosomal RNA", at positions 524 to 776 of the family's 1533-position model. The record is from RNAcentral.